UGGCGGACGGGUGAGUAACGCGUGGGUAACCUGCCUCAUACAGGAGGAUAACAGUUAGAAAUGACUGCUAAUACCGCAUAAGACCACAGCACCGCAUGGUGCAGGGGUAAAAACUCCGGUGGUAUGAGAUGGACCCGCGUCUGAUUAGGUAGUUGGUGGGGUAACGGCCUACCAAGCCGACGAUCAGUAGCCGACCUGAGAGGGUGACCGGCCACAUUGGGACUGAGACACGGUCCAA
This 238-nucleotide ribosomal RNA is filed under the name uncultured bacterium. Its description in RNAcentral is "partial 16S ribosomal RNA". It matches the Rfam family "Bacterial small subunit ribosomal RNA", at positions 96 to 334 of the family's 1533-position model. The record is from RNAcentral.